CCCCCGCCUCCCUCCAUCCUUACCCCGCCUGCGAACCGGCUUUGGCUCAUUAAUUAUUCAUGAGGCGAGGCCAGCGUCCCCGGAUCGCGGCUUCCAAUUGGCCCACCCUGGAUGAAGGGCAGGCGCAGCUUUCCAGGCCGUGAUUGGUUAGGCAGCCGGGGUACGCGAGACACGUGCGGGGGCAGGUGAGGACCAUCGCCGAAGGCCCGCCCCGUCCGCCUUGUAUCACCUGAUUGGCUCUUGCUGGGGGCUCUGCAGAUCAGAGGGAGUGCCAGCAGCCAGCAGCUGCCGCCACACUUCAAAGGCCUGGUGAUCCUUGUCUGAGGAGCAGUGCCCUGAGUCGCCCCUGAGAGCCCUUCCCUCUCCAGCUGGGAGCUGACCCUGCCGAGCUGCUGGCCACCAGCUGUAACCUGUCCACGUACCCAGAGAUCCUGGGAUGGCCUGGGUGGGGUCCUGGGGUGCUAUGCUGCCUACCCUGGGUGCCAGGACCAAGAAAGGGGCCCUCUGCCUCUAGAUUUUGGAAGUUUUUGGAAGAAGCCUUCCAGCUUCACCUACCCAUGCAGGCCAUUCAGGGACACCAAAAAGGCUGUGGCCUGUUUGUGGGCAUAGACUCCACCUGAGGCUCAUCUGUCAGGCUAGACCCCGGGCUGGAGCCCUGUGCCUGUGUGACCCUCCUGAGUGCAAGACAGGUGUCACACAAAGAUGGGAAGACAGCUGCCUACAGAGCAUGGUUCCAGAGGCAAUAUGGAGGACCGUGCAUGUCUCCAGAAUACCCACCUGGUGCAUGAGAUUUCGUUUUUGUGAACGCUCUGCAGACGACUCCUCAUGUACAAAUGUGUGCAGCCUCUAAGACCGUAAGUGCUGACCACACACCUGGCAUCAGGCUAGGCCCUGGGAGGACUUCAAAGUUAAACCACACACUCCACCCUGAAGAGAUUUUCAUGCCACUGGGAGUCAGUCCAGCCAGACACCCCCACUCUACAUCACAACAUCAACUUGCAGCACCGCCUGUGGCUGGCAGGGGUCACAGCAGCAGGUAGCUGGGCCAAGCACUGUGGAGGUCGUAGGUGGGGUCACACGGGACACACCUGGGAGAGAGGAAGCCACAUGCACACCUGGAUACACUAGCCGGGCCACCUGGGAGGGGGAUGGUCUGGAUCUCGGGGUUCCUGGCUCAGAGAUAUGAUGCCCACUGCAGAUGGUCUGGGACCAGUGGGUUCCUUAUGGAGGCCCCUGAGCCCAUUCCCACCCCCACCCUUGGGCUUCCAUAGUCUAUCUGCCCCCAACUCACUGGGGACAGUGUCCAUUAUGUGUGGACGGCAAGGUCUCUUGGCAGGGCAGCUGUGAUCUCCCGCUUGCCUUGUGUCGGUCAGGCAGGUGCCCUUAGUGGACACAAGGUCACGCUCAGAGCAGGAAAGGUCCCAUGAGAGCAUCUCCUACACUGUCCAGUUGGGGAAACUGAGGCCCAGACUGGGGAAGAACUUGCUCAAGAAAGCUCACUGUCUCGCCCUCUUGGUUGGCCAGCACUGCACAUUUAAAUUCGAGACCAGGAAAUGAAGACACCAGGGGAGACAGAUGCACACUGGUCAUCAGUCAGCCCGAGAGCCAGAGGUAUUUUCUCUUGGCCUCACAGGGGAUGGUCCCCCAGGCCAGAUGGAGGUCUGGGAGGCAGCGGAGGGCUCCUCCACUGGGGGUAGAUGUGGAUGCCGCUUUUUGGCAGAGCCCUCCGGGCCUUCUCUAGAGGGGGUGCAGAGCUGCCCCAGCCCCAGCCUGCAGGCUCCUGACAGACCCCACCCGCCUGUCCUCAGAAGCAACUUUUCAGGAAUGGAAGUGGGGACAGGCACAGGUGCACCAUGGCUGGUGAGCUCACAGCAGCCCUGCUCACAGGACUGAAGUCAGAGACAGGACUGCUCUGUGACUGCCGUGAUGAGAUAGCAGCCACUAAAUAUCCAGGCCAUGUGGGUUCGCGGAAACGCAUCCGUGAAGCAGAAUCGAGAGAGAGAGAAACAAAAGUCAGUGCACACAAAUUGUUAGUUGCCGACGAGAUGAUUCAGACUCAUGGCACCCCCAUGUGUGCAGAGUAGAACUGCUUCAUAGGGUUUCUAAGGCCGUGACCUUUCAGAAGAUUGCCAGGCUUUUCUUCUGAGGCAUCUCUGGGUGGGUUUGAACCACCGACCUUUCGGUUAGUAGUCUAGUGCUUAACCAUUUGCACCACCCAGGGUGCCUGCACUCAGAUUACAAUGAUGUAAAAAUAUCUGUAAAUUCUUAAUUGCAGUUUCACCUUCUCCAGGAAGCUCUCCCUGGUUCCCCAGCCUGGAUGAGGUAUCCUCCUUCGCCCCCCGAAUAUCUCCUGUCACUGCCCCCAUCACAUCAUCCUGCAAUCUUCUAUUUAGGUCAGUCCCCUGACUGUGAAUUCCAGGGAGCCACGGUUUCUCCAGGAAUCUUGUACUCUAGGGUCUGCAAUGGGGUAAGUACUCAAUGCUUAACAACCAGAAGCGAAUUUAAGGGAAUUUAUGAGAAUUUAAGGAGUAGGUACUUCAGUGGCACUCGGUUACUAAUCAAAAGGUUGGUGGUUUGAAUCCACUCAGAGGCACGUCAGAAGAAAAGCCUGGCAACUUACUUCCGAAAGAUCACACUCACUGAAAACCCUAUGAAGCACAUCUACCCUGACACCCAUGGGUUUGCCAUGAGUUGGAGUUGAUUCCACUCGGCAGCAACUGUUCUGGUUGUUUAUGAGAAUUUAAGAAUUGAUGUCCAGUGGGUUAACUGAAGUCCUGCUUAUCUGACUCCUCCUAUAUCUCUCAGCUCAAGGAAGGCACUGACGCUGGCCCGAGGGUGCGCCUGCAUUCUUCUUCCAGGAGCUGCGCCUGGCUGUACUGCUUUGGGGUUUCUUGGUGUGGCCAUGGGUACUGAGACCCACAGGACACCACAGCUGAAGGGACCUUUGCCAGUUCCCAGUCUCAGCUCUGCCUCCCGCGUGUCCUUGGCACCUUCGUUGAACCUCUCUGAGCCACACAAUUUGGACACCAAAUGUGCAAGGCUGCUGUGGACAGAUGUGCUAGAUCACUGUGCCUGGUGCAGAGAAAGGGCAUCCCAUACUUAUCAAGCACUUGAGCACCUACUGCAUACCUGGCCAUGUGAGCUCCUGGCCCAGGAGACUCCCUGCCUUCAGAAAAUUCACAAGCCUGUGACAUCUGUCCCUGGGCCACUGUAUACUGCAGUCUAAAGCUGGACACAUGCAGCCCAUCCCAUCAGGACCCCUUGUAGCCACACACAAUCCACCCCAGCAAUUACAGGUGUCCCUCAUUGAGAAGUCCUGCUCUGAAGGCCUUCUCUUUGGAAAGAUGAGGAAAGGGGCCUACGUGGCUUCGGUUGCCCUCAGGGCUUCGUGGGAGCACCUUCCAAAGCAUGGUCUGGCCCUUUGCCUUCCUGGAAAAGUCAUACCCGGAAAGGGUAGAGGUUGGUGCUCUGCAGCCAGGAUGGCACAUACAGGAAGAGCAGGGGAGGGUGGGUACCAUGGACCGCCCUGCACAGAGGGCCAAAGCAGGCGGGCUGCAGAAGAGCGGGCACAGUGAGCCACAGGCCACCUGUACAGAGCACAGAGUGUCCCUGUCAGCCAGGUGCUGCCAGAGCUGGAGUCAGCUAGGUUGGGUGUUUACAGCAGGACACAGACCUCCUGCCCCUCAUCCUUCAGAAUGUCCGCCUCGAGGCCUGCCCAUUGCCAGCCUGGCCCCACGAGGACAGCCCAGGCCCCGGGGCAUAAACCCCAGGUGGGGAGGAGCAGGAGUGACACCUUGGGGACAGAGGUCAAAGUGCACGUUUAUUUGCUAGAACAAAGGCUAAAAGGAGCAAGUUUCUUUCAUUUUAUUUUAAGAAGGACAAAAAUUGUUAUUAAAACAUCUACAUUAUUAUCAAGAUACUAGACUUUAUGAAUAUUUAAUAUUAAAGUGUGGUAUUCUUAAAUUUUUUAAUACACAGACACCUUUAAAGGACCAUUAAAUUGAUUACUGCCCAGCUGCUGAGAAAUGCAGCCUCCCAGGCCCCCACCGCAAAGGGACACACACUAGUGGGACCUCCACUGACACAAUGCUAUGCUGUGCUGUCCUGUCCUCUCCAUCUGUCCCCUGCCUGCUGGGGUGGGCACAGGCCCAACUCAACUCUCUGGGCCUCUGAGCCACCCCUCCCAGGGGUCACAACUGAGUAAUUCCCCUCGGGUGUUCUGGUUUCCCUCCCCACACCCAGCCAUUCCAGCCUCCCCUCUCUCUUCCCAGCCUUCAGGGGAUCCUCGGGCAGCCCUGGAUUCCAAGGCCCCCAGAAGGCUGGAGAAGAAAACUCUGGACUGAGUCCUCUUGCUUCCAGUGGAGACAAGCACACAGCUUUUUCUUUCCCUGAGCACUCCCGCUCUCUCCCCACUGGGCUCUGGUGGUCUGGGAGGGCACCACACAGAGCUGGGCCAGGCAGGGAGCACUCCCACCCCCAAAUCACCUUGGCCCCAAGUUCUAGUCCUUGUCUCCUCACACCCGGCCCUCUGACAAGCCGGAAACACUCAUCGUGCCAGAGUGGCUGUAUUUCCUGGCCAAGUCCUUUAUCUUUAGCCUUCAUUGGAAGUGAUCCCUUGGAUACCACACACAUAUAUAAUAUUAUAUAGAGCGAUAUAUUUAAUACCUGUGUAUAUAUGCACCGCAGGGGCGAGAUAUAUACACACUAGAAACAAGGCUGGUGACGACAAACUGCAACACCACGGACCAGGGGAACAAGUGUCAUCCACGUUCAGGGCCAUGGCCCCCACCUUGGGUAUGGGCACUCCUCCCCCAGCCCCCAGCCACGCCACCAGCACCCAAACUCUGCAGUGCUGGCCUGCUGGGGGGAAGGGGUCAGGCAAGAGGAAAGGGUGCAUGCCAUGGUUAUAGGGAAAAGGCCAGGCGGGGGCAGCUGGAGGGACAGGGUUCCCUACCCCCUGUACCCCAUCACAUCAUCCGCACACUGCCGAUCCUUGCUCGAGGAGAAAUAAGGGGUUCCAUUCUCUCCAACUCACCCCCAGCCCAGCCUGGGUCCCUGGUUCCUUCCGGGGGUGCCCACUC
This is a long non-coding RNA of Loxodonta africana (African savanna elephant), 5081 nucleotides long. RefSeq lists it as uncharacterized. The transcript is spliced from 3 exons. Lineage: Eukaryota; Metazoa; Chordata; Mammalia; Proboscidea; Elephantidae. The record is from RefSeq and is a predicted model, not a curated record.